This 420-nucleotide ribosomal RNA is filed under the name uncultured marine eukaryote. RNAcentral's name for it is "SSU rRNA". It matches the Rfam family "Eukaryotic small subunit ribosomal RNA", at positions 618 to 1054 of the family's 1831-position model. The record is from RNAcentral.
GUUAAAAAGCUCGUAGUUGAAUUUCUGGUCAUUUUUAGUUUCGGCUUCGGCCAGGCUAAAGUUGGCCAUCCGUCUGCAAGCUAUUCUCGGCCUUCAUUGGUUCGGAUUAGCGAGCUGACAUUUUACUUUGAAAAAAUUAGAGUGUUUCAGGCAGGCUUUUGCCCGAAUACAUUAGCAUGGAAUAAUGGAAUUGGACUCUGGUCCAUUUGGUUGGUUAUUGGAUCUGAGUAAUGGUUAAUAGGGACAGUUGGGGGCAUUAGUAUUUAAUUGUCAGAGGUGAAAUUCUUGGAUUUAUUAAAGACUAACUUAUGCGAAAGCAUUUGCCAAGGAUGUUUUCAUUAAUCAAGAACGAAAGUUAGGGGAUCAAAGACGAUCAGAUACCGUCCUAGUCUUAACUAUAAACUAUACCGACUCGGAAUU